Molecule: ribosomal RNA, 279 nt
Filed under: uncultured bacterium
Lineage: Bacteria
Description: partial 16S ribosomal RNA
Rfam family: Bacterial small subunit ribosomal RNA
Source: RNAcentral
UGCCAGCAGCCGCGGUAAUACGGAGGGGGCUAGCGUUGUUCGGAAUCACUGGGCGUAAAGCGCGCGUAGGCGGAUCAGUCAGUCAGGGGUGAAAUCCCGAGGCUCAACCUCGGAACUGCCUUUGAUACUGCUGGUCUUGAGUUCGAGAGAGGUGAGUGGAAUUCCUAGUGUAGAGGUGAAAUUCGUAGAUAUUAGGAAGAACACCAGUGGCGAAGGCGGCUCACUGGCUCGAUACUGACGCUGAGGUGCGAAAGUGUGGGGAGCAAACAGGAUUAGAUA